Molecule: ribosomal RNA, 450 nt
Filed under: uncultured bacterium
Lineage: Bacteria
Description: partial 16S ribosomal RNA
Rfam family: Bacterial small subunit ribosomal RNA
Source: RNAcentral
GUAGGGAAUCUUCGGCAAUGGACGAAAGUCUGACCGAGCAACGCCGCGUGAGUGAAGAAGGUUUUCGGAUCGUAAAACUCUGUUGUUAGAGAAGAACGUUGUGUAGAGUGGAAAAUUAUACAAGUGACGGUAUCUAACCAGAAAGGGACGGCUAACUACGUGCCAGCAGCCGCGGUAAUACGUAGGUCCCGAGCGUUGUCCGGAUUUAUUGGGCGUAAAGCGAGCGCAGGUGGUUUAAUAAGUCUGAUGUAAAAGGCAGUGGCUCAACCAUUGUGUGCAUUGGAAACUGUUAGACUUGAGUGCAGUAGAGGAGAGUGGAAUUCCAUGUGUAGCGGUGAAAUGCGUAGAUAUAUGGAGGAACACCGGUGGCGAAAGCGGCUCUCUGGACUGUAACUGACACUGAGGCUCGAAAGCGUGGGUAGCAAACAGGAUUAGAAACCCGUGUAGUCC